GUGCUUCAUGAGAGUCCACCAUUACUUUCCUAGUUCUCUGAAAGCUGUCACGGAGAAGGGAAAAGGCAUCAGUAUUUUGAUUCAGUGAAACUACAUCAAUCAUCAAUUCCACACACGAAAAACAUGAGAUCAGUUUACCUAUGCAACAUCUCAACAAGCUACGGUUGCGGCUCCUCGUCCGUAAUUGUUAUAUUCUAUCGGAUAUUGAUUCUGCUGCUCGUAGAGAAACCUAGAUCCUUGUGUGCAAGCCUCUUACAUUGUCCUGGCUUUUUCAGCACAAUGCCGCUCUGAACCUUUGGCGUCUUGGUUCCUCAGACACACAUAUUUCUUCUCUUGUCGGAUUUGAUCUAUGGCUUGUACAAGCCUCUAGAUGCAAUAGAGGAUAGCUUCAAAUCGACACACACA
RNAcentral lists this long non-coding RNA (405 nucleotides) under Triticum aestivum (bread wheat). RNAcentral describes it as "long non-coding RNA (TAES_LNC018928)". The record is from RNAcentral. Lineage: Eukaryota; Viridiplantae; Streptophyta; Magnoliopsida; Poales; Poaceae.